CACAGAGUGUGGGUAGAGCAAACAUGUUCUCCACUUGUUUAUUUAUUUAUUUAUUUAUUUACCUCAAACUGUGGGGUAGUCCUGUAAUACCACGACCCAGGUUCCCGCAACCACGAAAUUCUGGUUGCAGAAUCGAAGAGAAUGCUAUAGCUAACGAACCUCGCCGACGAAGUUGAUCCAUCCUGCAUUCUUUGAUUUCCCCGCUGCAGACUUCUCUAGGGCUCCCAGUCCUCCCAGCCCAUAAAUAGCAGCAUCACCAUCCAUCCCUGCUCCCCUGUUGCUCCAAACUAUUUUAGUAGUUAACUAGUCCCCAGGAGACUCUGGUGAACAGGGUUUUUGUAUGGUACGGUGCAGCCCAUCGAAAAAAAAAAUGUAGCCUUGUUCAGAGUACGCGGAAGUACACUUUUAUUUGUUUCAUUUUUGAUAUAUAUAGCUAUAUAUAGAAAUAACGAUUUGCAUUUGUCAUUCAUCUCCUCCCUUCUCAACUAUCUCUUUCAAUUUCAUAAUGUUAGCAAGAGAAGAGCGUGCGGGGAGGGGGAAAUCUUAUGCAGCGUGAUGGCAUAGGUUUUUCUUUUUGUUUUUUCCUUUUUUUCUUUCUUGUAUAUGCGGAACAACCCAGCCUCCUCGAUCGUUGAUUUGCUCCUAUUUUUUGGUUUUUCUAUUUCUCGAUUUUUGCUAGUGGGCGGGCUAAACGACGGAACUAACGACGUCUGUGGCUUGAUGCCAUCCGGGGGCUGAGCAGGCAGGAAUGGAUAGUUUUCUGUUUUGAGCCUCCUUUCCUUCUUUUUGGUUUGGUUUGGCUUGCGCACGGGGAGCUUUUCAUUUCACUUUGCUCGAUGCACGGACUGGAACGUGACAAACAUUCGCCACAGUCCUCACUCCUCCUUCC
RNAcentral lists this small RNA (889 nucleotides) under Histoplasma capsulatum. RNAcentral's name for it is "hypothetical RNA". Lineage: Eukaryota; Fungi; Ascomycota; Eurotiomycetes; Onygenales; Ajellomycetaceae. RNAcentral also lists the same sequence under 1 other name. The record is from RNAcentral.